GGAUCCAGACUUUGAUCAUGGCUCAGGAUGAACGCUGGCGGCGCAUUUAAGACAUGCAAGUCGAACGAAAAUUUACGCUUAAAGAGUUGAUUAGUUUACUAAGAGAUGAUUUAUUGUAAAUUUUAGUGGCGGACUGGUGAGUAAUACAUAGGUAAUCUGCCUUUUAGAGGGGAAUAACUAGGAGAAAUCCUAGCUAAUACCGCGUAAGACCACACUUAGGCAUCUAAGAGAGGUCAAAGGAGUAAUCCGCUAAAAGAUGAGCCUGUGGCUGAUUAGUUAGUUGGUGGGGUAAGAGCCUACCAAGACGAUGAUCAGUAGCCGAGCUGAGAGGCUGGCCGGCCACAUUGGGACUGAGAUACGGCCCAGACUCCUACGGGAGGCAGCAGUUGGGAAUAUUGGACAAUGGAGGAAACUCUGAUCCAGUGACGCCGCGUGAAGGAAGAAGGUCUUCGGAUUGUAAACUUAUUUUGUCAGGGAAGAAGAAAGUGACAGUACCUGAAGAAAAAGGACCGGCAAACUACGUGCCAGCAGCCGCGGUAAUACGUAGGGUCCAAGCGUUAUCCGGAUUUACUGGGUGUAAAGGGCGAGUAGACGGCGCUGUAAGUCAGCUGUGAAAACUUAGGGCUCAACCUUAAGCCUGCAGCUGAAACUGUAGUGCUAGAGUGCAGGAGAGGUAAGCGGAAUUCCCAGUGUAGCGGUGAAAUGCGUAGAUAUUAGGAGGAACACCAGUGGCGAAGGCGGCUUACUGGACUGUAACUGACGUUGAGGCGCGAAAGUGUGGGGAGCAAACAGGAUUAGAUACCCUGGUAGUCCACACCGUAAACGAUGGAUACUAGGUGUAGGCGAGAUAUCGUCUGUGCCGGCGCAAACGCAAUAAGUAUCCCACCUGGGGAGUACGGCCGCAAGGUUGCAACUCAAAGGAAUUGACGG
Molecule: ribosomal RNA, 930 nt
Filed under: uncultured Bacillota bacterium
Lineage: Bacteria; Bacillati; Bacillota
Description: bacterial SSU rRNA
Rfam family: Bacterial small subunit ribosomal RNA
Source: RNAcentral